GACGAACGCUGGCGGCGUGCUUAACACAUGCAAGUCGAACGGGCCUUGUCCCCUUUUUUUUUGGGGGUGGGGUUAGUGGCGAACGGGUGAGUAACACGUGAGUAACCUGCCCCUCACUUCUGGAUAACCGCUUGAAAGGGUGGCUAAUACGGGGUGUUCUGGCCUGCUCGCAUGGGUGGGUUUGGAAAGAUUCGACCGGUUUGGUUGUUUUGGUGGGGGAUGGGCUCGCGGCCUAUCAGCUUGUUGGUGGGGUGAUGGCCUGCCAAGGCUUUGACGGGUAGCCGGCCUGAGAGGGUGGGCGGUCACACUGGGACUGGGACACGGCCCAGACUCCUACGGGAGGCAGCAGUGGGGAAUAUUGCACAAUGGGCGCAAGCCUGACGCAGCGACGCCGCGUGAGGGAUGGAGGCCUUCGGGUUGUGAACCUCUUUCGCCAGUGAAGAAGGUCCUGCUCUUUGUGGUGGGGUUGACGGUAGCUGGGUUAAUGAAGCGCCGGCUAACUACGUG
This 507-nucleotide ribosomal RNA is filed under the name uncultured bacterium. RNAcentral describes it as "partial 16S ribosomal RNA". It matches the Rfam family "Bacterial small subunit ribosomal RNA", at positions 28 to 507 of the family's 1533-position model. The record is from RNAcentral.